RNAcentral lists this long non-coding RNA (989 nucleotides) under Brassica rapa (field mustard). RNAcentral's name for it is "long non-coding RNA (BRAP_LNC008354)". The record is from RNAcentral. Lineage: Eukaryota; Viridiplantae; Streptophyta; Magnoliopsida; Brassicales; Brassicaceae.
CUCUUAUAGGUCCAAUGCGUGCUCUCUGAACUCCAGCAGCAACCGCGUCCCUCUCUUGCCCUGCAUUAUCACCAGGUAAAGUUUCAUUAGCUUGUUGAACACGGUUGUAAGUGUUUUGCAUUCUUCUGGUUAUCUCAGGUAUCAUAGCCUCAAAUUGAACUUGGUUGAGGUUGAUUUGCUGGACAGCCGGUUCUCCUGAACUCUCAGGUUGCUUUCCAUCUCGCCUCUCUUCACUCAUUGUUCCUGAAAUAGUUAGAGAAAACACAACGCCAGGAACAAAAUUAUAUCUCUCUCUCACUCAAGUUUUCAAAUCGCCAAGUCUCAGCUCUUCCCACAAGUUCAGUUGAAAAACAAAGUUCUACACUUAAGAUCUAGAACUAAAACCCCAAUGAAUCAGAUAGGAAGUAUUAAGAGAUUUAGGCACCAGCUGACUUUACCACCCUGAGCUGGAUUUCUCCUCAGCUAGCUGGAUUACUCUUCAGCUAUAUAUUUUUUUUUGAUUUGGAUCAGAGAUCUCUUUUCUUUUCUUUUUUUUUUUUUUGAUUUGCAGGGUUGGCUCAGCUGGCUUACAACAGAUAGAAAGAUAAGAGAAGUGUUUGAUGGAAUGAAUGAUCUGAGUAGUCAAAUUGCAAACCCUAACCUUCAAGUGGCUCUGAUACCACUUGGUGCAGCCUGGGUAUGGCUUAAACUCUGGAUCACUUGAAGGUGGAUGGAUAGAAGAUGUUCUAAGAGGCUACUAGCUCUCCUUUGAACUGUGGACGUCUCCCUGAGCCUAUGGGUUGGCGCCAAGGAUGGUUUGCUACUCAAAGACACAAGAUCACCUUGUAUUGUCUAAGAUGGGAUUUACAGGAAUUCCUUCCUUUAAGUGAGAUCAAUGUUCUAGAGCUGAACAGAGAAAGCUAGAGACAAGACAACAAAGUUGACUGAAUAAUUCUUAGAUUGAAAGUUGAGAAAACAAGGCUGCAGCCCCCAUGUUCUUAAAGUGAAAA